GAAGUGCAGCAGAGACAAGUUCCUAAGUGCAAGUGUCUUGAGACAGGAAGAGGCUCCCUGAAGAACUGAAGGAAGUCCUUUCCUUGUGGCUGGCACAGAGAUGCAGAGUGGCCUGGAAUUCUCUGGGGAAAAGAAACCCAAGCAGAGGUAUUGUUUCUAUGGUUCAGAGUCAUCCGGUUUUACCGACGACUAGCAGCCUGCCCCAACUGGCUAAAUACAUGCCAACAACGGACUGCUGAGACAGCACUGUGUGGCUCUGUUCUCACUCGUGGCUGAUGGGCAAAGGCGGCUACGGAGGCACAGCUACGUGCAGAUGUCCUUACAGCUUUGCAACCCUCAAGGAAAAAGAGAUGUGGAUUUUAUGGAAUAGGUGCUACGUGGAGGAAUCCUGAGUCAUGGCCAAACAGCAAAUGCCAGCAAGAGUAGAGUAGGAGGCAUUUCUGUGUACACUUUGGGAAAAAGUCCAUUCCUCACUUGGUUUCAUUCCUGGCCUGAGCCACUGUGUCCUCCACCUGAAGCCCUAACCUCUCCAUUACUGACUGGAUCCCAAUGUGCCACAGUUCACCUGCAUGAGGAGGGGUCAAAGACAAGAAAACUGAAAGUGAGAGGCUAAGUCAUUUGCUGAGGUCAUAUGACAUCUAAAUGGCAGAGCUCGGAAACCUCAGGGAUUAGAGUGAAGUGGGGUCUCACUCUGUCACCCAGGCUGGAGUACAGUGGUGCAAUCAUAGCUUACUGCAGCCUUGACCUCCUAGGCUCAAGCGAUCCUCCUGCCUCAGCUCCUGAGCAGCUGGAACUACAGGUGUGUGCCACCAUGCCUGGCUUGAUGUGCUAAAUCUUGCAAGACUCAGUCUGCCUGCACCCAGGUGAAAUGAACAGCCAUGUUGCUCACACAAAGCCUGUUUGGGGGUCUCUUCACACGGAUGUGCGUGAGACAUUCUGAGCCAAAUGUGAGUGACCAAUGGCCCAUGACAAAGCCCUCUGGAGACCCUGAGAACCCACGUGUCCGUGGAGGUCGGGGUGCAGCUUAAUUUUUUAUACAUUUCAGGGAGACAUGAAACAUCAGUCAAAUACAUUUAGGAUAUAUAUUGGUCCAGUUCAGAAAGGAGAGACAACUCAUAGGAGGUGGGGUUUGAGGUU
This is a long non-coding RNA of Piliocolobus tephrosceles (Ugandan red Colobus), 1137 nucleotides long. RefSeq lists it as uncharacterized. The record is from RefSeq and is a predicted model, not a curated record. Lineage: Eukaryota; Metazoa; Chordata; Mammalia; Primates; Cercopithecidae. The transcript is spliced from 7 exons.